AAAGCAAAAUAGAAACAUACUGCAAAUCAAAUAGUAAGUGGAAUUUUGAUAAAGCUUGAAUUCAAAACAUCAGGUAUGCUUCCAUUGUACCUUUAUCUUCAUCAUUGUCCUUUCUCUUUCCACAUAUGCUUUUUGACCCCUUCAACCUUUUCAUUCUGCCUGCACUUGUUAACUAUUCACUUUGAAAAGGAAGACAUCAAAAGGGAAGAG
This is a long non-coding RNA of Ipomoea nil (Japanese morning glory), 210 nucleotides long. RefSeq lists it as uncharacterized. NCBI's taxonomy places the organism in Eukaryota, Viridiplantae, Streptophyta, Magnoliopsida, Solanales, Convolvulaceae. The record is from RefSeq and is a predicted model, not a curated record. The transcript has 3 exons.